CCUACGGGCGGCAGCAGUGGGGAAUAUUGGACAAUGGGCGAAAGCCUGAUCCAGCCAUGCCGCGUGUGUGAAGAAGGCCUUCGGGUUGUAAAGCACUUUCAGUGGGGAAGAAAGCCUUGGGGCUAAUACCCUCGAGGAAGGACAUCACCUACAGAAGAAGCACCGGCUAACUCCGUGCCAGCAGCCGCGGUAAUACGGAGGGUGCGAGCGUUAAUCGGAAUUACUGGGCGUAAAGCGCGCGUAGGCGGUCUGAUAAGCCGGUUGUGAAAGCCCCGGGCUCAACCUGGGAACGGCAUCCGGAACUGUCAGGCUAGAGUGCAGGAGAGGAAGGUAGAAUUCCCAGUGUAGCGGUGAAAUGCGUAGAGAUCGGGAGGAAUACCAGUGGCGAAGGCGGCCUUCUGGACUGACACUGACGCUGAGGUGCGAAAGCGUGGGUAGCAAACAGGAUUAGAUACCCGAGUAGUC
This 465-nucleotide ribosomal RNA is filed under the name Vreelandella stevensii. RNAcentral's name for it is "partial 16S ribosomal RNA". It matches the Rfam family "Bacterial small subunit ribosomal RNA", at positions 338 to 795 of the family's 1533-position model. The record is from RNAcentral. Lineage: Bacteria; Pseudomonadati; Pseudomonadota; Gammaproteobacteria; Oceanospirillales; Halomonadaceae.